AACUUUCGGCAACGGAUCUCUUGGUUCUGGCAUCGAUGAAGAACGCAGCGAAAUGCGAUACGUAAUGUGAAUUGCAGAAUUCAGCGAAUCAUCGAAUCUUUGAACGCACAUUGCGCCUCCGGGUAUUCCUGGAGGCAUGCUUGUUCGAGCGUCGUUAAAGACCAUAAGGCUUUGCCUUGCGUUGAGCUGUUGAUCAUCCGGUCAACAACUUCAAACUGAUUGGCGUCUGAAGUUUAGCCCAAGCACAGCAACAUGUGACGGUAAGCUAACCUCAAAUUGCCUAUUCUAUCCAUACAGGUCGACCUCGGAUCAAGCAAGACUACCCGCUGAACUUAAGCAUAUCAAUAAGCGGAGGCU
Molecule: unclassified non-coding RNA, 357 nt
Filed under: uncultured Ascomycota
Lineage: Eukaryota; Fungi; Ascomycota
Description: sequence contains ITS2
Rfam family: 5.8S ribosomal RNA (bases 1-154)
Source: RNAcentral